Melitaea cinxia (Glanville fritillary) is the source of this 833-nucleotide long non-coding RNA. RefSeq lists it as uncharacterized. NCBI's taxonomy places the organism in Eukaryota, Metazoa, Arthropoda, Insecta, Lepidoptera, Nymphalidae. The transcript has 3 exons. The record is from RefSeq and is a predicted model, not a curated record.
ACAGGUACUACAACAACUCGAUGGAAAUAUAGAAAACCAAGAUUUAACUUCAGAAAAUUGUCAACUUCGAACUUGCGAUGUCACACAGACUACCUUCAAAAAAGUGCCACAAGGUCUAGAUUUAACUACGCCUAUGGCACAUAAGAAUAAGUUUGCAGAGUCAACUAAUGGGUUUAAUUCAACCUAUUGUCAGGGAUUAGAAAGUGAAGAAAAAGAGUAUACUGUUACUACGGAACCGGAAGAAAUUAUAUCCGAUAAACACGUCGGAAGGAAGAUUGUGGCCAUAUCUCAAUUCAAAAAUUACUCAACUUUUGUAAACAUGGCCAUCUAGCGUAUUCAUCGAAUGAUAUAAUACUAACAGGAGAAAAUCAAAAUAGUCUGAUAUCAUUAUUUACUUUUCAGUGUAAAAUGUAUAACGUAACUCUUACAAUCGAAAAUGAUAUCUGUGAAGACAAUUAUUUAAAUUUGAAUGCAUGUGCAGUAGCUGGUACCAUCGCAAUAGGAUGUGGCCGGUCACAACUUGAAGAAGUGUUGUCAACUAUAAAUUUGCCUAGUUUCACUGAAAAUACAUACGACCACAAUCACAAGGUUAUUGGCAAACAUCGUCAUCUCAUUGAGGUGAAAUGUCCCAUUACAGCGCAUAGAAUCGGCAUAGACGAAGCUAUUAGGAAGAAAAAAAUAACCGUCUGGAAAAUAAAUAAGAAUGGUCAAUACCACAUUAACAAAAAUUGGUAUUACCAAAUUCAAGGUCAAUUACAUGUAACACAAAGCAAAAAAUGUAUAUAUGCGGUAUGGGGCAGUGAAAAUGAAUCGCUUAGAAUCGAAAUUAUUAA